AUGUACAGUAGGCUGUCAAGAGAAAGAAGUAAGAACAAAGGAGACUGUUAUUAUCUUUUAUUAUUAUCUUGUAGUAACUGGACACAAUUCCAAGGGAGCUGCAUGUGUGCCGAGCUAUUUCCCCAGCUGCUCCUACAGGCAAGGCCCAUGCUGAGGGUUCCUGCUCAAGGAACUCCCAGUUGAUCUCAGUUUGGGGUGGCCAGUUUAAAGCUGCAUUUCUGCCCCUAGAACCAGGCAGUCUGGAGAAAUGAGAGUUAGAUUAGAGUAGUUCACAGUAGAUGUAAUCAUCAGUGUUCUCACAGAUGAUAAUGGGUUAGUUCUGGUUAAUAUCUUUUACAGAGUUUCCCUUCAGUUCGCCAUGGUGCCUUCAAGCCAGGCAGGUCCCAUUCCCCCACCCUGUGGUGAUGCUACUUGAGACAGACUGAGCCACACUCAGAAUUGGCUACUUCUGUCAGGCAGGGUUAAAACUGCUGAUGAAGAUACAGGAAGAAGCAAUCUCCCAAGCCAGAAUGGAAAAGGGAAAGGGCACUGUCUUUAAAGGGUGAGUUGCCAAAGAAGAAAUGUGACAAGCAGUCAAUCUGCUAUUUCUCUGGCUCUGCAACAACUAACAGGACAGAAAUACUCCAGCAGGGAAUGGGGACAGGAACAGUUAUCAUUUAUAUAUAUAUAUAUUUUUUUCCUUCCCAAACCCCUUGUCAGUUGUGCUGAGAAAGCAAAAUUUACAAUCCUGAUUUUGGAUAUAGGACUACAUCCAGGCCCCUGAUUAUUCCUAAUGCUGAAGGGUAAGAUGUAGGAGAUGUAAUUACUUGUAUUACUUGCUUUUUUGUUGUUGUUUGCUGCAGGAGCUGUGUCUGAGAAUAAGAAGGCUGCAUUCUGCUUUCCCCUAGCCUGUAAUAUGUCCAUCAGUCCUUAGCAAUACUGCUGCCCGUCUGCACAAUCACAACUCAAGCAGAAGUAUCCCUCCAGUACACAGAAUUAUGGCUAGACUGUGAUAGGCAGUGUGACACAGGGAUGGAGAAGAAAUAAUCUAUGGCAACUUGAAACAAAAUGCCAAAUCUUGAUAACCAAAGGCUUUACCAACCUUUGCAUGCAGGGCCCCAUGGGGGUCUUUUAGUACACAAGUCACUCACCGGUGGAUAAUGCACAAUUUUCUAAUAAUGGAGCCAGCGGCUGUACACUAGAA
RNAcentral lists this long non-coding RNA (1183 nucleotides) under Anas platyrhynchos platyrhynchos (common mallard). RNAcentral describes it as "lncRNA (ENSAPLG00000031056.1)". Lineage: Eukaryota; Metazoa; Chordata; Aves; Anseriformes; Anatidae. The record is from RNAcentral.